GACGAACGCUGGCGGCGUGCUUAACACAUGCAAGUCGAACGGAAAGGCCCUGCUUUUGUGGGGUGCUCGAGUGGCGAACGGGUGAGUAACACGUGAGUAACCUGCCCUUGACUUUGGGAUAACUUCAGGAAACUGGGGCUAAUACCGGAUAGGAUCUCCUGCUGCAUGGUGGGGGUUGGAAAGUUUCGGCGGUUGGGGAUGGACUCGCGGCUUAUCAGCUUGUUGGUGGGGUAGUGGCUUACCAAGGCUUUGACGGGUAGCCGGCCUGAGAGGGUGACCGGCCACAUUGGGACUGAGAUACGGACCAGACUCCUACGGGAGGCAGCAGUGGGGAAUAUUGCACAGUGGGCGGAAGCCUGAUGCAGCAACGCCGCGUGCGGGAUGACGGCCUUCGGGUUGUAAACCGCUUUCGCCUGUGACGAAGCGUGAGUGACGGUAAUGGGUAAAGAAGCACCGGCUAACUACGUG
Molecule: ribosomal RNA, 468 nt
Filed under: uncultured bacterium
Lineage: Bacteria
Description: partial 16S ribosomal RNA
Rfam family: Bacterial small subunit ribosomal RNA
Source: RNAcentral